GACUGACUAAGCCACCAAUGGACACUAUUUUUGUCUGAUUCACAGUGGAUUCUGGUAGACCUGUUCCUCGGUGUACAUGUUUUAUAAAUGGAUUCAUUGUGUAUUUCUAUGUUUGUGGAAUCAUUCUAGGAAUAGAUUUCUUUUUUUUUUAUUCAAUAGGUUUAUUUUACAAAUAACAGGAGGGAUGUUUUAUAGAGAUACAUGGGAGAAGCAGAGAAGCAGAAGAGUUACCUGAAACCCACCACCCAGAAAUAGUCUCUGUUUACUGUUAACUAUUGCUUUCAGACUUAGUGCACAAUAUGUAAAUAGUUUGUUCACAACCGGCUACUGCUGUUGCAUCCUAGUCUGUUAAAUGUUGUUCUUACAUGAUAAAAUAGUGAGCAUAAUACUCUAGGAUUGGCCUGGGAGGCGACGCAUUGCAAAAUUUAAAGCUCCUACAUGGCUCUUCUGGGAUUUUGAGCAACUUGAAGGAAAGAGAUUCUUACUUGUAAAGAGAAGCCAGGGUUUGCUGCACAUAAAAUUAGCGGUUGAUUUCUCUGACACAAUUGCUUCCCUUCCAAAUGUUUAAAUACUAAAGUAUUUAGAAGGAAAGACCUGAUCUAUUUCAUUGAAAAGGAUGAUCAUAUCAUAUUUCAGGGCAUUUACCAAAGAGGAAAAUAUAUUCCUUAAAUGUUUUCAACCAUAGGAAGGAGCCAUAAUACUGUCAGAAAUCUUACAGAUGUAAAAGUUAAAAGUGAAGGUAGAUUUUACAGAUUUUAACAUGAAUGUAAUAUCUGAAUGCAUGUAUAAAAGCACAUAUUUAAAUUUUUGUGUACCUGUAUACUAUAAUAUGGAUAACUACAUUUUAAUUAUUUAAACUAUUCAUUUUCUAUAAACUGUGUUACUAUGUGUGUUUGUUUAAAUGUCUGUGCACCCACACAUGCAUGUACACUGUAUACUUGGAACAUUAUACAUGUUCAUCUGUAGACAUGCUUCAUAUUUUGCUAACUGAUGGUUAAUGCUAAGCUGGAGAUUUCUACUGUAGAGCUUUUGGAGAGGGAAAAUUAACUGCCUUUGAUGU
RNAcentral lists this long non-coding RNA (1060 nucleotides) under Marmota monax (woodchuck). Lineage: Eukaryota; Metazoa; Chordata; Mammalia; Rodentia; Sciuridae. The record is from RNAcentral.